Molecule: transfer RNA, 72 nt
Filed under: Camelus bactrianus (Bactrian camel)
Lineage: Eukaryota; Metazoa; Chordata; Mammalia; Artiodactyla; Camelidae
Also listed under: 2 other names
Rfam family: tRNA
About the family: Transfer RNA (tRNA) molecules are approximately 80 nucleotides in length.
Source: Rfam by way of RNAcentral
GAGGGUAUAGCUCAGUGGUAGAGCACGUGCUUAGCAUGCACAAGGUCCUGGGUUCAAUCCCUAGUACCUUCU